CGCCCUUCAGAGGGGGACAACAGUUGGAAACGACUGCUAAUACCGCAUACGAUCCAAUCUCGGCAUCGAGAAUGGAUGAAAGGUGGCCUCUAUUUAUAAGCUAUCACUGAAGGAGGGGAUUGCGUCUGAUUAGCUAGUUGGAGGGGUAACGGCCCACCAAGGCGAUGAUCAGUAGCCGGUCUGAGAGGAUGAACGGCCACAUUGGGACUGAGACACGGCCCAG
RNAcentral lists this ribosomal RNA (223 nucleotides) under uncultured bacterium. Its description in RNAcentral is "partial 16S ribosomal RNA". It matches the Rfam family "Bacterial small subunit ribosomal RNA", at positions 127 to 334 of the family's 1533-position model. The record is from RNAcentral.